GAGGGAGGGCCGCGCCGACAGGGAGUGCUAAUCCCGGUGACCGAGGUUGGACUCCUCGGCUCACUCG
RNAcentral lists this transfer RNA (67 nucleotides) under Trachinocephalus myops (snakefish). Its description in RNAcentral is "tRNA-Ser". Lineage: Eukaryota; Metazoa; Chordata; Actinopteri; Aulopiformes; Synodontidae. The record is from RNAcentral.